ACACACUGUUGAUCUAAUCGGGUUUCCGCUUUCCAUCUCCUCAACUUUGAGCGGUUUCUUUUCCAAUCUUGACGCACACAUCGGCCUCCUGUUUAUCGUCCUCGUACUGUUCUCCAUCUUCAAGAAGCAACCAGGGAAUGCCGUCGUAUAUCGCGCUCGGGCCAUGUCGAGGGAUGAGGGGGCUUUCCCCCCCGCUACCAGGAAGACGCCUUCUCGUUCCGCAGGUUUCUUCCUUCUUUCGAGCGGGUAGGGCCGGCGUUUCGGGUAACAGAGGACGACUUCAUGAGGAACUGCGGCCUGGACGCCUUGGUGGUCAUUAGGCUCUUCAAAUUUGGGUAGCCUUCUUUUGCUAUUUUCGGAUGUUGUUGGAUUUUUUCUUCCUUCUUGUUCUUCUGGGAAUUUGGUGUCUGGGGCAAGAAGAUUGUUGCUGUGUUUCCCCUUUUGAAACGGUUUCUUGAAGUUGGGUGAGGGGAAAUCCUGCGAGGAAGUAUCACCUUAAGGUCUUUAAAAUCUGAUGGGACACAGUUCGAUUUGUGUUGUGUAGCGGCAGAGAUUUCUAUCCGUCUAACAAUUUUUUCUGACUUUUUCACACUUGGUCAAUAGAAAUCGUUGGUUCACUCAUUGUUCAUCACGUUUGAUGGGCCUUUGCGGUAUGGUCUUGUUCUUCUGAUGGUAAAGAGGUUUGCCUUUUUCUUUUUCCUUGUCAUGAUCCAUCGGCUUACUUUCCUUUUUCUUGGCUCUGUUUCUUUUCCUAUGUCUGUUCCUUCUUUUUGUUGAAUUCCAGUUUGAUGGGUUUCGGAUGUGGUUUGUGCUCUGUGUUUACAUCCUGCAAGUGAACUCUUUUCUUUCUUUCUGUCCGGAUCAAUGAUUCUUGUUUUUUUCCCGUCAAAUCCUUAUUCUUCUUUUGAAAUUCUAUCGACAGCAUAAUUUAUGCAUGAGAUAUUCUCAUAUUUGCAGUAAGCAUGUUUUUUGGACCGUUCUGUAUGAAACUAUGAUUGACCAUAUUUGCAUUUCUGUGCUUUUUCUUCUUCAGCACAAAGCUUUUUGUGCCGUGUUCAGUAGUCGGAUUACUGGUGCUUGUGCCUGUUAAUUGCACAAGUCAAAAGAGAUCCUCCAGCAUCACCCUUUCAUAUUCGAUUGAUUCUUUUACCAUAUCGAAUAUUGGAAGACGAUCUAAUAGGUAAUACUUUCUUGGGUUAUAUGAAUGUUAACAAGAAUUAUUAUUCCUUAUGAUUUCCUGAAAAACAUUGUUCUUCACGCGUACUAUUUGGUGAACUCCUUUUAAAUUCACAAAUUAUUACUUUAAUCUUGAGUAGGUUUGUUUUGUUGCAAUGGUGAAGUACACAAUUCGUAACUUGUACGUGAGGAUGAAAGAAAGCCGAUGCUCUACACUGAUCAUUAUCGUUUGAUUCAUUUUGCUGCAGAAUUGUCGGGGCUCUUUCCUUGCUGGCAUUCUUUUCAUUUUAGUGAAUGUUUUAUGUCAUAUGCUUCUUUUCAUCAGAUAGUACUUUUAAUUCUUUGACUAACGGGUUCCCAGCUUUCUUUAAUAGAAUGCAUCUCGAUCAUAUAUUUAAUAGGCCAUUUUCAUCCAUCAUCUUAGGGAAACAUAAAAAGAGUACUUACUUUGACAUGGAAUAAGACCGGGGCAGAGUUAAAUGUGGGCUUGUGUGGCAGUUGCCCACACGGUCCACAAAAGUUUAUGGAUUUACAUAUUCUUUAGCGCCAACUGUUUGCUUAUUUAUUCUCCUUCGACGUAUUUAAAACUUUGGAUUUUUUGCUAUUCGUUCUUGUUUGGAGCUUGAUUUAACAACCUUGGAAUGACUGCCCAGAUGAUGCAAUAUUUUAAUGAUAUUUUAGAUGAAAAAGUCACACUUAUGACACUUCAUUGUGCAUCUUGAUGCACCGUGGCUGUAGAAUCGAACCAUGUACUACUGGUGAUAUGCACUGCGAUUCAGUUGGAGUAACUUUGCUAUGUUAUAGAGCAUAUUGCUUAGUGUUUUAUGCAAUUUAUACCUAAAAUCCUAUGACUUCAAGAUCAGCAGUAUUGUGAGGUGAAGAUAUUGUGGAAGAGCUUUUAUGUUCAUCAGGGGCGCACAUGCAUACACGAUCAUGUGCAUACACGAAUUGCAGAUGAAGUGUUCUUUCAUCAAUCAUGUGCAUACACGAAUUGCAGAUGAAGUGUUCUUUCAUCCAUGCAUGCAAAUGUUGGGAUAAAUAGUAAUUACCAUAUUAUGAUUUUGCAUUUUAAAUUUUGUUUUAGUUAACCUUCAUGAUUUUUUUUCCGGCUUGUAUAUCCUUCAAUAUUCCUCUUGAAUUUUCCAAGUUAUUUAAUUCAGUAUUCUGCAUUGUAUGUUUUACACAUAAAACGAAAAUAUAGGUUGAGCUCCAAACAGUUGAUGGGCUAGUGAAAGAAAGCACUCAGUGUGCUCCAAAUGGUUAUUAUUUCAUUCCAGUUUAUGAUAAGGUAUCAGAAAAAGGUUCAUUAGCUUUCUUAUUUUUCUGGUUGCCUGGACGUUUUGUAAGUUUUUUGCUGGAAGUGUUAUAGUAAAUUAAACUGCAGUGCUGUUCCACUCCUAACAGAUGUUUCCAUCGGUUUUGUUCACUGUUUCUGUAAAUGUCUCUCUUCUUCAUUUAAUGAUUCCAAGAGUUUCCUGAAUCAAGCUGCUGAAUUUUGUCACAACAUAUUUUUCUGUCAUGUAAAACUCAAGCCUCUGCAGUUUAUAACUGUUUUCUGCAUCAAAAACUUAUUACUUUUUAAUGCUGCUCACUUUUUGAUAAAUCAAUAGCUUCUGGUUGCUAUAGUAUCUGUUGGUCCUUUGUGCAGCUUUCAUGUUCAUUUACGUGCAACUUUCAUGUUCAUUUAGGUUUUAGGACACUUAAUAUAUAAAAAAUACCCCUUUGAUAUGAAACAUCUGAUAAUGAAUAUGGUUCGGGAACUUUAGAGUUUAGAGAUUUACUCUUCAUUAUAGUAAAUGGGUAAGAAGGCAGGUUGAUUAUUACAAAGUGAAAGGUUGUUUUGUAUAUUUUGCUAAGCAACAUGGGGUAUGGGAAUUGCCCUGGAGUAUCUGUGUUGGAAUGGCUUUUUUUGACACAGAUAUGCCUGGGGCCCUGAGCGAUUGGGUAUGUUAGAUGAGAUUUGGUCAGAUCCAAUCCAAAACAUUAAACUUAAGAAAGGGAAAAAGAAUAACACCCUUACCAUGUACAGUUUACCAGCGAGAGAGAGAGAGAGAGAGAGAGAGAGAGAGAGAGAGAGAGAGAGAGAGUACCAGCAAGAAGAAUCUGAUGGUAGCGAGUUAAGACACCAGAGGGCAAGGGGUGAGCCACCAAUGGGGGCAGAUAACUUGCAAGAGAGAGAUUGCGUGAACCGAUGGCCUCCUAGAGCUGGGUUUCCUCUCCUUCAUAAUGACUGAUGAAGAGAACCUGUAUAUAUAUGCUGCUGUGUUUUAACCCAUAUUGUCAAUUGUCAUAGAUGCACCCACACUCAUAACCAUAUCCAUGUGACACAGAUAUUUUGGUGGUGAGGUGGGCUGAAUUGGCUGUUUCUGCUGAAGAUCAGCUUUUAGUGAUUGUCUUAGACUUAGUUGUUCAGUUUCUCAAUUUUUUGUACAAAAAUGUAAAAUGUUCUUAUGAAUCACUAACUUAGAACUCCAACUCCUUUUUGAUAUUGAAGAAAGACUUUUGUGUUUGGCUUGUUUCUAGAAAGAAAACAACCUUAAGGUACUUGGUCUAUGUUCUUUUAUCUAUGUUUGGAACUUUAUAAUUCAGUCCUUAUGGUUUUCUAUUGCAUAAGGUAAUUAAGAACAUUAACUUAUGGGCAUUUAUAAUCUAGUAUGGUCUUUUGGGGAUAUUACCCGAAUGUGCCAGUCACUGCCAAGUAUAUUCCAUGUAUUUGUGCAAUAUUUAGCUAAGACUCUAACAUGUGCGGUAUCAAGAUGUCAGGUGCUUUCGUAGAGACGUAUACACACACACACAUGCUUACAUUUUCGCAUAUAAUGAGCUACCAAUUCAUCUAAGAGACAAAGGAAUAAAUGCUGUGGCAGCUUAAAGCCUUAGGCAGAAAGGAUCUCUUCUCUUACUAACAUUAUCCAUGUUCACUAUGUUGCUGAUGUCCUUUGUACUUACUAACAUUGUGUAUCUUGUGUUGUAACUUUAGGGUUCUUUUGUUGUCCAAAUUAAGGGACCUCAUGGAUGGUCAUGGGAGCCAGAUCAUGUACGUUGCUGCUUUCUGGUCCCAUGCUUGCCUUUAAAAUUAUGUUCUCUAUUUACUUGUUGUCUUUUGUUAACUCCUUCAGUUACUUUCCUGAACCUUCUUACUUUUGGUAUGUGACAUGCGAACUUUGGCUGCCAAUAUUAUCGUGUUUUAAAUUAAGCUCAUGACUACACGGAAGCUUGCAUUCUUCUGCAACUGACAAAGCAUUAGUUUUGGUCUGUUGGCAACUAGAUCCCUGUUUCUUUUUCUAGUUAGGUAUGUCCCUGAACUUUCAGUGAAAACGUGUAAAUAUGGUAAAGGAUUCUCUUGAUGUGGAUCCAACUUCCACGUAAACUAUUUGGCAGUAUAUAUAUGCCAAGGGCUUGAGGUUGUAAUUGCUGGUUAAAGUAGUCCUGUAUAGACUGAUUUGCUAUAAUUGGAAAGGUUUGGAUUGUGGGUCUUCUGGAAAGUUUUUCUCAUCCCCACACCCAAAAAAAAAAAACACACCCUUCCCACCCUUAGGACUAGCUUGACGCAACUGUAGGACCUGAAGACACUUUCAGCAAAAGCUUGUUAUCUCAUCUGAAGCCAAUGGAAUGUUAAAGAUGUUACCGCAGGAACUGGGAUAUAGUGGAGCAGCACAAUAAGGAUUUGAUAACGAACUUCCCACAUUACUCUCAAUAACUGAGCAUAAAAGAUUGUAGUUAGCUGGCAGGAGAAAGAAGAUGUGAGGUGUGGGAUAGUGUGAAGAUGAAGAACAGUUAUGAGGAGGAUGAAGGAACCUCUGUGCUGUGUUGACAGUGCAUACAGAUUCAGCUCUGGGCAGAUUAAGGAGCUGAGAUUGCUGAUUUUGAUAAAACAGGAGUUGUACCGGAGCCUGUGUUCCAUUUAUUACUAGAAAAUAUGGGAGUUGUUCGACAAGGCUGAUGUCAACCAGUAAUUUUUCAAUCUAUUCUACGUUUAAGUUGAAGGUUGUUAAUCACAUCCAUAUUUUAGUGUAUAAGAUGAUGGAAGCAUCUUUUCUACCGUUGAUUUUAUAGAUGACUAUGCCACACAGGUACUUGUCAAAGGCCCAAGUACACACAUAUUGUGUACAUAUAUCAUAUAUAAUAUAUGUAAUAUACUUGUAUAUGUCAUAUCUAACAAUAUAUUAUAUGUAUACAUAUAAUUUAUAUGUAAUAUUGCUUAUAAUAUAUUGCAUAUAUUAUACAACCUAGGAUUAUAUAUGUAUAUAGCUUAUAACGUACGUUAUAUAUAUGCACCAUAAUAACAAUAUAUAAUAUAUGUUUAUAAUCUGCUAUAUAUGUUGUAUGAGUUCUUUUGAGAAUUUUGGAAAGCUUAAAUGAAAUUAUUAAGAACUCAUGAGCUGCUUAUAUGUAAAUGUUGGGUACUCUUAAGGAACUAACAACAAGAUUAAGAUAUACUUGACUGCGACUUAAGUAUAGAUUAACCUUAAUUAAACUAUUCCAUAAUUAAGAGUUACUAAAUAUCUUUCAGUUUGAAAGUAAAUAGCUUCAAAAUUGGGGACAAGAUUGAAAAAUAAAAUAAAAUAAGAGGGAGGUCGUUGCACGACCCCCAUUUCAAGACCAAAAGAGAGGGAUAGAAGAAAGAGACGAGGGGAGGGAGGAGACUGAUUUUCAGGCGGUCAAAUCAACAAGAAUCAGGUAUGGUGUCCCUAGCAUCCCUUUUUGCUUUCGGAAAUGGUUUUGAUUCAGUUAAUGCAUAAUUUCACACCAUAUUUUUGGAAUCAUGCUUAUUUCAUGUGCUGCACGUGUUGAUAACUUUUGCUUGACGAAAAAUGGUGCAGACUGGGAUAUUAUGCAAACCCCCAACUAGCUAGUUUGUGAAAUAGCGCCUUUGCAGCUAGUUUUUGAAUUGCCCGAGCCAUUUUGCCAGUCGUCGGCGGCCGACCGUGGCCAGUCCGGCUUGACCACAACUCUAUCCGUGGCCACAUAUUGCUGUUGGUGGUCCGCUUGGCUUGUUUUUGACUUCUUGAGGUGCACUGCGUACCUUGUCUUGUUUGGGAUUUGUUGUGCGCAUGUUCCCAUGCGAAUGAUAUGUUGUCGAUUUUUCCAUCGCCUAUGUAAUUGCAUGAAUAGUUGAAUGUGAUUGCAUGAAUAGUCAACUAGGCAACCUUUAGCAGACCUUAUUAUGUUUCGGGGUGUUGUGCCUUUUGACCAUAGAAGUGUACCGCCAAGAAAUGUUAGAUUGAUCCUCCCUAGAGGGGAAUGAAUCAAAAUUAUAUCUGUUGCAUGGCUUGUUCUUAUACUUGUUACGUACUAUUUAUAGUUGCAUGUUAUAAUGUGGUAUGUGGAUGUGCUGCGUAUAUGACAGGUGGAGGUUGGAGUCAUGACUGACGCCAAUGUGAUGUAACAGACCUAGUGAAUUGCAUAUGGGCAGAUAGAUAGGCUUAGCCUUUGGAUAUGUGUUCUCUUGAUCUCUUGAUCCACUGUUAUGUUUUGUUGGUUCAUGAUUAUUAGUCUGAUGUUAAAGAACCUGACUUGGGCUCCACAGGUCCUGCUCCUUAUCAUGAUCAUCUAGAUGCAUUAAGAAGUAAAUUAUUUAAUUGUUCAUGCGACAUUAUCGUGAAAUGAAGAAAACAUGCAUCAACCUUUUCACUCCAUAACCGCUUUGCCACUCAGUUUCUUAGUUACUCGUAAUGACAUAUAUAUAUAUAUAUAUAUAUAUAUAUAUAUAUAUAUAUAAAUAUCAUAUUUAUAUGAUUUGUGAAUUUAUAUGGUCAGGGUGUGGCCAUAGAAGUCACACGCUACUCACACACAUCACAAUGCAUUGCAUUAGAGCUAAAGCCGCCCAAUAAUUUUUAUCGGGUGGCUGUGGAAGUAGGCCUGAACUAGAAGCUAAAACUCAUUAAAGCUUGGCUGGAGCUCAAGCCGAGUCUUAACCAUGUACGAGUUCAUGACUCGACUGGUUUAUGUAAGCAGAAUGGAGUUGUUCACUGAAUCGGUUAGCUAAAGCGUGACUCGGUUCAAAAGAUAACUGGUUCGAGUUGUUGCAAGAAACGAUUCACACAACUCCUUUUUUAAAUAUUAAACCGCUUUCCAGAUGUGAACGAACGAUCGGGUGGCGGCGGAAUUCUUUCUUUCGCUCCUCCACUCAUCCUCGGUGGUCGUCAAGUCCUUCGUCGCCUUGCCUUGCCUCUUCUUCGACGUUCAUCGAGUUCUUCACUCCCGACUACCGCUCUCCCUGGUCGGCCGCCGCGUCCUCCAACUCUCCGAUGGUUGAUCUCCCGUCCGGCGUCCAUAUCUCGGAAGCUCCUGUGACUACAGUGUCCUGUCGGUUGUCAUUCGUCAGGUUACUCAGGUCUCUCUCUCUCUCUCUCUCUCUCUCUCUCUCUCUUUUUCUCUGCUGUGGGUAGGUGGUAGCCGAACAGCGAAUCGCUUCUUGGUGUCUUGAGCUCCCUUUUCUGUUCCACCGGCAGCCAUCGCGGCCCAUUGCUGUUUACAAUGGCUGCCGAUGGGAAAAAUAAAGGUCGGGGGGGGGGGGGGGUGGUGCUGUUUACCAACAUUAGGGCUCCUUACUAUGUCUGUUUCCCUUUCUCUUCCUCCCGGUAACUUCUAUGCCCAUUGCAGUCGCAGAAUAGAAGUUUUGUUGGAGGAUUUCAUGUAUUCCGUUUUGGGUGUUCUCAUAAGUACCGUCGACUGCAUUUUAUUGUCUUGUUUCCUUUCUUGUGCGAAUUCUGUUGUUGGGUGUGAUGCUUUGGUGAUAUUUAGGCUUUUCUGAUUAUUCUUGCUUUUGCUGAUUCUGUUGUUGGGAUUGGGUUCAUGACGGAUGCCUGUUCUUGGGCCUGGUUUGGAUAUGUUGGUCUUAAAUUUUAACCUUAGUUUCGUGUAUUUUGAUUUUGUUGGUAGCCUGGUCUAGUUUUCAUGAUAACUGCUACUACUUUUAUUGGUGUCGUGUGUAGGGUUUGUUCUCUCCUUGAUGGUGAUCCUCCUCGCUUUUUAUGCUCUCUCUUUCUCCCAUUCUCUUUCCUCUCUCUCUCUCUCUCUCUCUCUCUCUCUCUAAGGAUUUCAACUCUGAUUGACUAUCUUAUGUUCCUUUGAUUUAAUGAGUUUGGUGAUAUCCUUGGUUUAUUGUUUGAAUGAUUUUUUUUUUCCAAAUUGCAGGAUAUUGUCUGAUAUGCAGACACUUACCGCAGAUUGGAUGUCAAGCACAGCCAACCCAGAAGCUGCGUUGGCACCGGUGUAAGUUUCCAGAUUGCAGGAUAUUGUCUGCUAUGGGGAAACUUUUCAGCAGAUUGGAUGUCAAACAUAGGUAACCUACAAACUGAGUUGCCACCAGUGCAGCAUCCAGAUAUGUAUACACAAAACUCUUGGCAAUCCUUGGAAAAGCAAGGCGACAUGUAGAAGCUUUGAACAUUUUUAAAGCAAUGCGGGAAGACUACCAUAUAUAUCCUGAUAUGGCUGCAUACCACAGCAUUUCUGUGACUCAAGGGCAAGCUGGUCUGAUAAAAGAGUUACUGCAUGUAAUUGAUUGCAUGAGGAAACGACCUUCAAAAUUAUUACAAAAAAUGCACUGGAUUCGUUGUUUGGAACCUGAUGUGGUGGUCUACAACUCAGUGUGAAAUGCUUGUGCCACUCAUAAGCAGUGGAAAGGAGCACUGUGGGUGCUUGAAAAGCUCAAGCAUAAUGGCCUAAAACCUUCUUCAGCAACUUAUGGCCUUGCAAUGGAGGUGGGCCGGAUCGGGUCCAGACCCGGACCCAACACGGGGGCUUCUUCCCCCUCGUCUUCCACUUCGUCUUUUUCCUUUGGCUCGACCGUGUGAGAAGAGGAAGGCGGAAGUGUGGCGACAACGAUGAUUGGGCCGGCGGAGGAAGGACAACAGCAGCGGCGACGGCGUUGCACAGCUAGGAGACACAUAUUUCCCCUCAUACCAACGACUAGAAUGCAUUGGUGGUGGAGGCAGUGAUCAAUCGUUGACGUUGGAGCUCAAUCGAACUCUUGAAGUGGCUACCGGGAGCACUACGACAGUUUGAAUUCUAAGAUUGGGGUGAAAAAGGGCUAAUCGAGCUUAGAUUAUUGUAAAUUUUCUGUGGGAGUACGUAUAAUUAUUGUUUGAGCAUGCUAGAAUUAAAAAUUGACGAUUUAGAAGGCAUGCUAAAGAUGUCGCUAAUUUGGGGAAGUUUAUGCCCAUUUUGAGAUGGACGAGGAUCUAUAUGUAUAAGUGUUUUUCUAGCAUGAUGUGUUGAUCUUCGAAGCAAUAGGAAAGCAUGGUAGAGAUUGUGAUGUUAUGGUGAAGGUUUAGAACCGUUUUAGCAAGCUUGGGAAAUAGGCUUCUAUUGAUGUACAUAUGCGUUGUAUGUUGAGAAUCUUAAUGGUGAGGAAGAUGCCUCAACUAAGGAAAACAAGUGACAAUCGCACAUGUGAUAAGUCGAACAUAAGUUUGAGUUCUAAUCGUUGGUGGCAACCUCGAGGGUUGGGAAGAGACCCUUUUCGGAGGGCUUCGUGGGUCGACACUCAUUUGAGGCGAAGACAUGCCUUGAUGAUGGUAUUUUCAGAUUUGUAUCGAUUGUAAGCGAAACAAGUAGAGAACUUACCAUUUGGUAAUGUUUGCAGGUACACCGGGCACGUCUAGUAGGCCUUAAGCAAUGUGGGUCGUAGUUUGAGGUAUUUAGUGGAUGCGCGACAGGUAUGGCGGCAUUCCAGGCAAAUCCCUGCUUGGGCAAUUGUGUGAAUGUGUGUUCCUAAGAUUGUGGGAUCUUAGGAUUGUGAUGUGAUUGAUGGAUUGUUUUGUGAAUGAAUGUGUGUAUGCAUGCAAAUUGUUUGAUAUAUGAUAUGAUUUGUUUUGAAAGACUAUGAGAAGCAUGUUUUGAAAACUGUUACGCAUUUGCAUAUGCAUGCUAGAAUUGAUAACUGCUUAGGACAGAUAAGGUGGGCUAUCGAGUCAAGUGUCUCCUCGACCCCAAUUGUGCAUUAGAAAGCAUCUUAGAAUGAUAACUGCAUAGGACAGCUACGAGUCAAUCACAGAUCGAGACUACUCUUUGUGGUUUGGCUAAGUUUUUCAAAGAGAUAAUUGAUGUGACUGAUGCGAUAAUUGAUGUGAAGGUUGUAUUUUGUUGCAUACACAUUGCCGCGGGCAAUGAUGCAAUUGAUUGAAAUUGAAGGGUAGUUGUACCCGUAUUGUAUGACGGCUAGCUAUGAUUGUUAAUGAUAUGUGUAGACCUCGUGUGGAGGCAAUUGGAGGUGUGGGUGUACUCGUGAAGUGUACCAACCUCAUGAGCUAGUCAGUCAUUUUAUGAAUGUGCUAUUAUAAUGGUAAUAAUGAAAGAAUAAGAGAUG
Long non-coding RNA from Nymphaea colorata (pocket water lily), 10486 nucleotides. RefSeq lists it as uncharacterized. Lineage: Eukaryota; Viridiplantae; Streptophyta; Magnoliopsida; Nymphaeales; Nymphaeaceae. The transcript has 7 exons. The record is from RefSeq and is a predicted model, not a curated record.